AUGAGUAAUUCAUGUAGAAACUGGAAUGUGUUGUGCUGGAAUGUUAGAGGUUUGAACUCUGAAGCUAGGCAGCGAGCUGUCAGACAAAAAAUUGAGGAAUGUCAAUGCUCUAUAGCCUGCUUGCAAGAAACUAAAUGCUCAUCUUUCGAUUCCAGAUCAAUCAAAAGUUUCUGCCCUAAGAGAUUUGACUCUUUUGCUUGCUCCCCUUCAAUAGGGGCUUCUGGUGGUAUUCUUGUGGUUUGGAAUUCAAAUGUUUUUAUUGGAAAUCUAAUUGAAGUUCAGCAAUUUGCUGUUGUGAUUAAGUUUACCUCCAGGCAGAAUAAUGAA
Molecule: ribosomal RNA, 327 nt
Filed under: Triticum aestivum (bread wheat)
Lineage: Eukaryota; Viridiplantae; Streptophyta; Magnoliopsida; Poales; Poaceae
Description: partial small subunit ribosomal RNA
Source: RNAcentral